RNAcentral lists this transfer RNA (83 nucleotides) under Canis lupus familiaris (dog). It matches the Rfam family "tRNA". From Rfam's summary of the family: Transfer RNA (tRNA) molecules are approximately 80 nucleotides in length. Their secondary structure includes four short double-helical elements and three loops (D, anti-codon, and T loops). RNAcentral also lists the same sequence under 1 other name. Lineage: Eukaryota; Metazoa; Chordata; Mammalia; Carnivora; Canidae. The record is from Rfam by way of RNAcentral.
GCCUGGGUGGCUCAGUGGUUGAGCGUCUGCCUUUGGCUCAGAGAGUGAUACCGGAGUCCUGGGAUCGAGUCCCACAUCGGGCU